CCCGUAGCUCAGUUGGUCAGAGCUCCCGGCUCAUAACCGGUUGGUCGCAGGUUCGAGUCCUGCUGGGUCC
This 70-nucleotide transfer RNA is filed under the name pig gut metagenome. It matches the Rfam family "tRNA". From Rfam's summary of the family: Transfer RNA (tRNA) molecules are approximately 80 nucleotides in length. Their secondary structure includes four short double-helical elements and three loops (D, anti-codon, and T loops). The record is from RNAcentral.